CCUACGGGAGGCAGCAGUGAGGAAUAUUGGUCAAUGGACGAGAGUCUGAACCAGCCAAGUAGCGUGAAUGAUGACUGCCCUAUGGGUUGUAAACUUCUUUUAUAUGGGAAUAAAACGUUCCACGUGUGGGAUUUUGUAUGUACCAUAUGAAUAAGGAUCGGCUAACUCCGUGCCAGCAGCCGCGGUAAUACGGAGGAUCCGAGCGUUAUCCGGAUUUAUUGGGUUUAAAGGGAGCGUAGGUGGAUUGUUAAGUCAGUUGUGAAAGUUUGCGGCUCAACCGGAAAAUUGCAGUUGAAACUGGCAGUCUUGAGUACAGUAGAGGGGGGCGGAAUUCGUGGUGUAGCGGUGAAAUGCUUAGAUAUCACGAAGAACUCCGAUUGCGAAGGCAGUUCACUGGACUGCAACUGACACUGAGGCUCGAAAGUGUGGGUAUCAAACAGGAUUAGAUACCCCAGUAGUC
RNAcentral lists this ribosomal RNA (460 nucleotides) under uncultured bacterium. Its description in RNAcentral is "partial 16S ribosomal RNA". It matches the Rfam family "Bacterial small subunit ribosomal RNA", at positions 338 to 795 of the family's 1533-position model. The record is from RNAcentral.